CUUGUCUUGAAGAUAGGCUCCAUUGCUGUACACAGGAAACAGCAAGAAAGAAAUACAGCUACUUCUUUGGAGGGAGGUUACAAUUAGAUAAUAACAAGUAGGCUACAUUUCAGCAUUCAAGAUCUUUUGCAUCUAAAAAAGCACUUCAGGCUGGUGGCCCUUCUGAGCAUGGCAGCAAGAAAGUCUAAGAAGGUACUCACCAGUC
Molecule: long non-coding RNA, 205 nt
Organism: Candoia aspera
Lineage: Eukaryota; Metazoa; Chordata; Lepidosauria; Squamata; Candoiidae
Exons: 3
Source: RefSeq, a predicted model, not a curated record